GAUGAACGCUAGCUACAGGCUUAACACAUGCAAGUCGAGGGGAAACGAUAGAGAAAGCUUGCUUUUUCUAGGCGUCGACCGGCGCACGGGUGAGUAACGCGAAUCCAACCUGCCCACCACUUGGGGAUAACCUUGCGAAAGUAAGACUAAUACCCAAUGAUAUCUCAAGAAGACAUCUGAAUGAGAUUAAAGAUUUAUCGGUGAUGGAUGGGGAUGCGUCUGAUUAGCUUGUUGGCGGGGUAACGGCCCACCAAGGCGACGAUCAGUAGGGGUUCUGAGAGGAAGGUCCCCCACAUGGGGACUGAGACACGGUCCAAACUCCUACGGGAGGCAGCAGUGAGGAAUAUUGGUAAAUGGGCGAGAGCCUGAACCAGCCAAGUAGCGUGCAGGAUGACGGCCCUAUGGGUUGUAAACUGCUUUUAUAAGGGAAUAAAGUGAGUCUCGUGAGGCUUUUUGCAUGUACCUUAUGAAUAAGGACCGGCUAAUUCCGUGCCAGCCGCCGCCGUAA
RNAcentral lists this ribosomal RNA (508 nucleotides) under uncultured bacterium. Its description in RNAcentral is "partial 16S ribosomal RNA". It matches the Rfam family "Bacterial small subunit ribosomal RNA", at positions 28 to 523 of the family's 1533-position model. The record is from RNAcentral.